GGCGCUCUGCCCGCUGUUUCGCGAGCUCUGGGUCGUACUCUGCCCGGAGGUUGGAAACGGGUGAAAGGAGGCGACCUGGGGCAAGGCGGGGUCUUUCUGUGCAGUUCAGGCUGCCCUUGAACUGUGUAACCUUGGCUCACCUUGAACUGGAGGCGAUCUGCCUGCCCCAGCCUCCUGAGAGCUGGGAUUACAGGUAUCAUGCACCACGUGCAGCAGUAAUUUGUUGUUGGUAAUGAUAAAUUUUGCAGGAAAGUUAUAAGGAACUAUUCUGCAUUACUCUAAAUGGGAAAAUUAGAAUGCAUCACACUUCUCCAAACCAGUUUUUAAAAAUGUAAAUAAAAUACAGUACAGUGCCCACUUACAAAUAAC
RNAcentral lists this long non-coding RNA (369 nucleotides) under Heterocephalus glaber (naked mole-rat). RNAcentral describes it as "lncRNA (ENSHGLG00000039457.1)". The record is from RNAcentral. Lineage: Eukaryota; Metazoa; Chordata; Mammalia; Rodentia; Bathyergidae.